RNAcentral lists this non-coding RNA (24 nucleotides) under Gossypium hirsutum (cotton). Lineage: Eukaryota; Viridiplantae; Streptophyta; Magnoliopsida; Malvales; Malvaceae. The record is from RNAcentral.
GAUUCGUUAGUAAUGCUCGUGACU